AUUGAACGCUGGCGGCAGGCCUAACACAUGCAAGUCGAGCGGAUGAAGGGAGCUUGCUCCUGGAUUCAGCGGCGGACGGGUGAGUAAUGCCUAGGAAUCUGCCUGGUAGUGGGGGAUAACGUCCGGGAACGGGCGCUAAUACCGCAUACGUCCUGAGGGAGAAAGUGGGGGAUCUUCGUACCUCACGCUAUCAGAUGAGCCUAGGUCGGAUUAGCUAGUUGGUGGGGUAAAGGCCUACCAAGGCGACGAUCCGUAACUGGUCUGAGAGGAUGAUCAGUCACACUGGAACUGAGACACGGUCCAGACUCCUACGGGAGGCAGCAGUGGGGAAUAUUGGACAAUGGGCGAAAGCCUGAUCCAGCCAUGCCGCGUGUGUGAAGAAGGUCUUCGGAUUGUAAAGCACUUUAAGUUGGGAGGAAGGGCAGUAAGUUAAUACCUUGCUGUUUUGACGUUACCAACAGAGUAAGCACCGGCUAACUUCGUG
This 484-nucleotide ribosomal RNA is filed under the name uncultured bacterium. RNAcentral describes it as "partial 16S ribosomal RNA". It matches the Rfam family "Bacterial small subunit ribosomal RNA", at positions 30 to 507 of the family's 1533-position model. The record is from RNAcentral.